This 253-nucleotide ribosomal RNA is filed under the name uncultured bacterium. RNAcentral's name for it is "partial 16S ribosomal RNA". It matches the Rfam family "Bacterial small subunit ribosomal RNA", at positions 524 to 776 of the family's 1533-position model. The record is from RNAcentral.
UACGUAGGGUCCGAGCGUUGUCCGGAAUUACUGGGCGUAAAGCGUGCGCAGGCGGCUUUCCAAGCGCCACGUGAAAGCCCCGGGCUCAACCCGGGAGGGUCGUGGCGAACUGGGAGGCUUGAGGCCGGUAGAGGUGGGUGGAACUCCUGGUGGAGUGGUGAAAUGCGUAGAUAUCUGGAAGAACACCAAUGGCGAAGGCAAUGUUCUGGCUCGUUUCUGACGCUCAGGUGCGAAAGCCAGGGGAGCGAACGGG